Molecule: long non-coding RNA, 274 nt
Filed under: Ananas comosus (pineapple)
Lineage: Eukaryota; Viridiplantae; Streptophyta; Magnoliopsida; Poales; Bromeliaceae
Description: long non-coding RNA (ACOM_LNC032804)
Source: RNAcentral
ACAUAGCCUGUCUGCGGUUGUAGGGGUCGCUCCCCACAGGCUGUGCACUCUGGAGUAUUUGUCACUUGAGGGGCAGUCGCCAUGCGCUGCCCGGACAGUCAGUGAAUCUGUCCGCAGGCGGUCUCGGGGAAUAGUUCAGCGAGGCUUUUCCCUAUGAGACUUAUAAACGUGAGAUUGUGUUACCGGAUUGAUCGGAUGAUUGGGCAAGAUAAUGAAUAACCACCCUUAUUGUUGAGCAUAGUAGUAUGGUAGCUACGAAUUCCUUAUGAAUUAC